RNAcentral lists this ribosomal RNA (253 nucleotides) under uncultured bacterium. RNAcentral's name for it is "partial 16S ribosomal RNA". It matches the Rfam family "Bacterial small subunit ribosomal RNA", at positions 524 to 776 of the family's 1533-position model. The record is from RNAcentral.
UACGUAGGUGGCAAGCGUUGUCCGGAUUUACUGGGCGUAAAGGAUGCGUAGGCGGACAUUUAAGUCAGAUGUGAAAUACCCGAGCUUAACUUGGGUGCUGCAUUUGAAACUGGGUGUCUAGAGUGCAGGAGAGGUAAGUGGAAUUCCUAGUGUAGCGGUGAAAUGCGUAGAGAUUAGGAAGAACACCAGUGGCGAAGGCGACUUACUGGACUGUAACUGACGCUGAGGCAUGAAAGCUAGGGGAGCAAGCAGG